ACAUACGACCAUAUCUACAAGACAAAUACGGGGUCUCGUCCGCUCCCCCAGAGUCAAGCUUGCGAGAGGCAGAUUAGUAGCUGGUUCGGUGACGACCAGCGAAUACCGGCUGUUGUAUGUA
This 121-nucleotide ribosomal RNA is filed under the name Tolypocladium ophioglossoides CBS 100239. Lineage: Eukaryota; Fungi; Ascomycota; Sordariomycetes; Hypocreales; Ophiocordycipitaceae. The record is from RNAcentral.